This 464-nucleotide ribosomal RNA is filed under the name uncultured bacterium. RNAcentral's name for it is "bacterial SSU rRNA". It matches the Rfam family "Bacterial small subunit ribosomal RNA", at positions 917 to 1382 of the family's 1533-position model. The record is from RNAcentral.
GGACCCGCACAAGCGGUGGAGCAUGUGGUUUAAUUCGAAGCAACGCGAAGAACCUUACCAGGUCUUGACAUCCCUUGACAACGCUAGAAAUAGCGCGUUCCCUUCGGGGACAAGGUGACAGGUGGUGCAUGGUUGUCGUCAGCUCGUGUCGUGAGAUGUUGGGUUAAGUCCCGCAACGAGCGCAACCCUUAUUAUUAGUUGCCAGCAUUCAGUUGGGCACUCUAGUGAGACUGCCGGUGAUAAACCGGAGGAAGGUGGGGAUGACGUCAAAUCAUCAUGCCCCUUAUGACCUGGGCUACACACGUGCUACAAUGGCAUAUACAACGAGUCGCUAACCCGCGAGGGUACGCUAAUCUCUUAAAGUAUGUCUCAGUUCGGAUUGUAGGCUGCAACUCGCCUACAUGAAGUCGGAAUCGCUAGUAAUCGCGGAUCAGAACGCCGCGGUGAAUACGUUCCCGGGUCUU